UCGACGGUCCUCCCUAACCGGAGGCUAACAGGGAAUGCCGUGACGCCCGCGAGGGCCAAUCGGCGGCUGUACCCGCAGCUGUAAGCGGAGAGCGCGCGCCAGCGAGUCACUGGACCACGGUCUGGGAAGACAGGCGCAAGCAACGACCCGUGAGCCAGAAGACCUGCCGGCGAU
This 174-nucleotide non-coding RNA is filed under the name uncultured Reyranella sp. The record is from RNAcentral. Lineage: Bacteria; Pseudomonadati; Pseudomonadota; Alphaproteobacteria; Hyphomicrobiales; Reyranellaceae.